ACCCUCCUGCCUCCAGCAAUCCCUGAACACAUCUGAUCUCUGCCACCAGGAGCACAGGUCUCACAAACAGCCUACGGCUUUCAUGACUGCAAGCUGCUCCUCGGUGAGGAGAGGCAGCUCGUUGUGCCAGCCCAGGGUGAGCUUACACCUCAUUAGAAACCAGAGAAACCACAUGGGAGGUGAUCUCACAAAUGCUCCAGCUGUGGGAAAAGAUUCAACUGUGGCUUCUCCAUCAACAUGAGAUGCAAAUCCCAGGGACCUGAGCUUCACUUUCAUUCAGGCUCCUGGAGAGGUGGCCUUUAUUUGCAUUGAAGAAGAGGAAAUGGAAGGACUCAGAAGACUGGUGGCCAGAAGAGGAGCAGGAAGACCCUGCAUGUCCAGUAGACCAGAGACCCUACAAGUCUAAGGCACAGAGACCUGAUAAGUCCAAAGAGACUGGCAGCCAUUCUUACUAAUUUCUUGCUGAAAUGUGGCUCUGGAGAGUUUUGUGAAACUGGAGAGCAUUAUGUGUUUUUGACUGGACCUCAUACUCUAACAUCUUGCUUCCCUGAGCUGCCAUAUCAGCAUGUUAUUUUCUAUACCUUUUCCUUGCACUUCAGACAUUUAUUUUGUGUUCCAAUCUCCUCCUCCAUGUCUACAACACAUCCUUAACCCUCAUUUCCACACUCCCACAUAAUCUACUGGAAGGGUGAUUUUUUUGGCAUUUGUGAGCGGUGUUAACAAGGAUCAGAUGGUGCCAUUGUUUAUGAAAGAACCAGGUUUCCUUUACCAGCUGUGGCAUGCACCAGUAAAAAAAAAAACAUCCAGCAGUGUGGACUUUACAGUGGAGUUCUUGUAUUUAGCAGGUGAAAAGUCAAUACUCUACCUGUAAUGAGAUUCGGUCAUGGAAAACCCCUUGAAGUUGUUUUUAGCAACGAGGCAUUAGUCACCCUUGGACAGCUGCUGGCCACUCGGCGCUUCUGGCUCGCACCGCGCCACGUGCAAGGGCUGUUUUGAAGGCUGCUCAGUGUUAAUGGUGACUCUUGCUACGCCUCAGGUGUUGAGUUUAAGCACAUGGUUUCUGGUUAUUUUAGGAAAACAUGAGCUCAUGUUCCAAGCAGCCUUCCCUCCAGUGAGAAGUUCAUUGCAGCCCAUCCCUGUGCAUGGGGCUGGGGAUGGUUAUACCCCGUGUCUUUGGGGGACUAGUGUGCCUUGGGUUUUCUUCCAAGUCUGGGGAUAUGGGAUGGUGUGAUGAUGAAGUGGUGAGAUGAUGCAGUGCUGUGAUGGGGCUGUGCUGGGGAGUGCCUCCAAAAGCAUCACCAGAAGCCUGAUGGCCACCCAAAGCAUUUUGCUACGCCCAAUGCCCUUGUGGGUGGUAGCCUGCCCAUGCUGAGGAACUGAGGGUGUGUUUGGAGGAUAUGAAGAGGUUGGUCAGGGAACUCAUGGAAAUGCAAGUGCAAGGGCUGAGAAAAAGGUGCUUUCUGUGUCAUAGACAUAGGUUAGGCAAAGAGGAGACAGCAGAGAGGUGAGAUCAUGGAGCAAGGAGGAGUGGAAUCUAUUAGAGCAUCAAAUGGCUGGAUUAAGUCAUACCACGUGAAGGCUAAGGCAGCUCCUAAAGAAAGGGAAAAUACAGGUGAUGAAGGAAGAAGUCAGUUUAACAGACCUGAAAUCUGGCCUGCCUGCAGAAAUGCGGGCUUGGAGCAAUGACCUUCUUUGGGAAGAAAAGGAUAAGCUGCUGACCAGUGGAUGCUUACCCAUUUCCUCCACCCCAUGGCUUCCCCCAGUCUCCAGCAUUGGCUGAGUAGGAAGGGACCUUUGCUCAAGGAGAGUGCUGGAUUUUCUGGCUGGUGGACAAGGGCAAGGAAGACCUGGUGAGGACAGUUCUUGCACUAGAUAUGGAGAGUGGGGAUCCAUGUUGAUGAGUGUCAGGAACUAGUGAGGGGGAACCACAAAAAAUGGUCAGCAAGGGUCCUGUCUCUGGGACCAGCCAACCCUUUACUUCCUCUGCAGCUCAGGCAGAGUUUGCAGAGAAGAGAGUCUGAUAAUACAUUGUCCCCACUUUAUAAGCAAAUAUCUUGAAAUAAUACAUACAGCUUUUGCUGAUAUCUUCAUCAUAGAGCAAUCUAAGGGUGUGCGUAGCUUGGAUCUGACAAGCAGAUCUCAGAAAACUUCUUCUGAUAGAGAGUGCAUUUAAAUGGAGAUGACAGGGAGAAUUUCAAUUUCAAUUUCUUCGAUAGAUAUGACCAAAAAAACAGAGCAAAUGUGAAAGUGUUAGAAAAGAAACAGAAUUUCAUUUAGACAUCUUGUGUUGAAACAUUGUGAUGUCUUUCUUUGAGAACUUUCAGAGCCACUGUACCCCUCAUUCAAGACACUUAGAAAAACCAAGACAUGAGAACAGCAGAAACCAGGCAGAACAGUCUUGUUGAGGCUUCUUGAGAGAGGAAAAGUGGUUGUUUCAGCUGUUGAAUUAUUCCUUCAGUUCUACUGCUCAAGUUCUCCUGAGUUGCUCCAGUGGCACCAUGGAGUCUUAAAUCUAGCCAAAGGAUUCUCGUGGUGCAGGGAAACCCCUGUGUAGCCUCAAGCCAGGGAAGUUGUUUAAGUGAGGCUACAGUUGUGUUUAGACCAGGAAUGGUUCUCUGUAUAGGGCUGGAAGCAUGUGGAAAGGCACAAUGCAGCUGAGAAGUUCCCUCCUCUGUUUCCAUUUUGUGGCUUCUGCAAUAAUCUGUCAAAGGAACCUUAUAAACCCCUAAGUGGUGGGGUUUUUAAAGCAUGGCUGUUAUGGUAAUGGUUUAAUGCUGCCUCCUUUGUUAUGUGUUAAUGGUGCCUUCCUCUUAAGUCUACUAAUAAAAGAAACUUAAACAUCAA
Gallus gallus (chicken) is the source of this 2844-nucleotide long non-coding RNA. RefSeq lists it as uncharacterized. The record is from RefSeq and is a predicted model, not a curated record. The transcript has 2 exons. Lineage: Eukaryota; Metazoa; Chordata; Aves; Galliformes; Phasianidae.